UACGUAGGGGGCAAGCGUUGUCCGGAUUUAUUGGGCGUAAAGCGCGUGUAGGCGGCCAUGUAGGUCUGACGUGAAAUUCCGAGGCUCAACCUCGGCAGGUCGUUGGAAACCAUCAGACUAGAGUCCGGAAGAGGAGAGUGGAAUUCCUGGUGUAGCGGUGAAAUGCGCAGAUAUCAGGAAGAACACCCGUGGCGAAAGCGGCUCUCUGGAACGGUACUGACGCUGAGACGCGAAAGCGUGGGGAGCGAACAGG
This 253-nucleotide ribosomal RNA is filed under the name uncultured bacterium. Its description in RNAcentral is "partial 16S ribosomal RNA". It matches the Rfam family "Bacterial small subunit ribosomal RNA", at positions 524 to 776 of the family's 1533-position model. The record is from RNAcentral.